Molecule: ribosomal RNA, 274 nt
Filed under: uncultured bacterium
Lineage: Bacteria
Description: partial 16S ribosomal RNA
Rfam family: Bacterial small subunit ribosomal RNA
Source: RNAcentral
AUACGGAGGGUGCAAGCGUUAAUCGGAAUUAUUGGGCGUAAAGCGUGCGCAGGCGGUUUGUUAAGUCAGAUGUGAAAGCCCCGGGCUCAACCUGGGAACUGCAUUUGAAACUGGCAAACUAGAGUGUGGUAGAGGGAAGUGGAAUUCCUCAUGUAGCGGUGAAAUGCGUAGAUAUGAGGAGGAACACCAGUGGCGAAGGCGACUUCCUGGACCAACACUGACGCUCAUGUACGAAAGCGUGGGUAGCAAACAGGAUUAGAAACCCGGGUAGUCC